GCAAAGGAGGCUCUGGCGGAAAUGAACGGAUCUGAAGGCAGGCGUGAGCACUUGCCGGCACCUCCCUUCCUUUGAGGCCUGAGGAUGAAACCCUGUGAAGACCCUUCGAGAGAGUACCACCUUGCUCCUGGACUUGCUGGGCUCCAGAACUGAUGAUGCUGACACGGGGAAGUGCCACCAGCCUACUGGAAAGUGACAUCUCCUGUGUGCAAUGUGUCUGACUGCCCGGCUGUGAAUACUGCCAGGGUCAGUGGGAACACGUGGCCAGCGGGGCACCAUCACCAACUAGCAGCCUCUCCCCCCAGAGCCUUGAGGGCGCAGAUGCCCAUGCCAUGGAGUGGAGUCAUUAGGAAUCGGUAAGCUCUACUUACCUCCUGUGCUUCGAAUGGAUUUUGUUUAGCUGCAAGUUGAUAUAGUACAAUUUUUAAGUGAUGACUGUGCUGACAAUACCUAAAAAUGUCGCUGUUGGCCCUCACUGACCAGCCUCCUCCAGGGCUCCACUGCUAUCACAGAAUAAGGCAAGCCCACGGCCCAUCUUCCAGAGCUGUUGUGAGUGCAAGCCUAAACUCCAGCAUCGUACCUGCCACGUGGGUGCCCAGUAAACACC
Molecule: long non-coding RNA, 607 nt
Organism: Ochotona curzoniae (black-lipped pika)
Lineage: Eukaryota; Metazoa; Chordata; Mammalia; Lagomorpha; Ochotonidae
Exons: 3
Source: RefSeq, a predicted model, not a curated record